This 249-nucleotide long non-coding RNA is filed under the name Homo sapiens (human). Its description in RNAcentral is "non-protein coding lnc-VWC2L-1:5". Lineage: Eukaryota; Metazoa; Chordata; Mammalia; Primates; Hominidae. The record is from RNAcentral.
GCGUAAUUAGCUGCCUACUUUUCAAAAUUAUGUGAUGACUUCAUGGGAAAAGAGAUUCACAAGAACCAGUAACAGGAAAGCUUAAAUAAGCUUGGAAAUCUUUAAACUUUCAAUAUCGGUAAGCAAUGAUCAUUUUUAAUCACCCAAAUUCAUAAGAUUUGAUCAAAGGAAAAAUGUAGUGUUUUGGUGAUAUGCAGGAAGUAUGAAAUGCAUGCUACUAAUGAUUGAACAGUACAUCUUUGGUAUGGC